Molecule: ribosomal RNA, 468 nt
Filed under: uncultured bacterium
Lineage: Bacteria
Description: partial 16S ribosomal RNA
Rfam family: Bacterial small subunit ribosomal RNA
Source: RNAcentral
GACGAACGCUGGCGGCGUGCUUAACACAUGCAAGUCGAACGGAAAGGCCCUGCUUUUGUGGGGUGCUCGAGUGGCGAACGGGUGAGUAACACGUGAGUAACCUGCCCUUGACUUUGGGAUAACUUCAGGAAACUGGGGCUAAUACCGGAUAGGAGCUCCUGCUGCAUGGUGGGGGUUGGAAAGUUUCGGCGGUUGGGGAUGGACUCGCGGCUUAUCAGCUUGUUGGUGGGGUAGUGGCUUACCAAGGCUUUGACGGGUGGCCGGCCUGAGAGGGUGACCGGCCACAUUGGGACUGAGAUACGGCCCAGACUCCUACGGGAGGCAGCAGUGGGGAAUAUUGCACAAUGGGCGGAAGCCUGAUGCAGCAACGCCGCGUGCGGGAUGAAGGCCUUCGGGUUGUAAACCGCUUUCGCCUGUGACGAAGCGUGAGUGACGGUAAUGGGUAAAGAAGCACCGGCUAACUACGUG